This is a long non-coding RNA of Mus musculus (house mouse), 1743 nucleotides long. RefSeq annotates it as predicted gene 6980. The transcript is spliced from 4 exons. NCBI's taxonomy places the organism in Eukaryota, Metazoa, Chordata, Mammalia, Rodentia, Muridae. The record is from RefSeq and is a predicted model, not a curated record.
AUGAAAAGAUACUGUCAUUUGCUAUCAGGAAAGUGUGAAUUAAAACCAUGGCAAAAUACAUCAUGAAAAGAUUUAAAGUAGAAAAGACUGCCAGUACCAAGUGUGGGUAAGGAAAAGGAGGCAUUGGAAUUCUUGUGGAUUGCUAAGACAAUUGCCUUGAAAAAUAAUUUCUGAACAGUUAGAUACAAAACCGGCACUGGCCACAACUAUGUCACAACUAAUGGAAGAAGGCAUACUUCUGUGCAAAGAUAUGAAAAGAAUAUUCAGAGCAUGCUUCAUUUGUAAUAGGCCUAUGUAGUAUGUAGUUUCUACUACCCUGCUUUAAGUUCUGGUGGACAGCACUACCAGCCAUCACCCAGGUUUCCUUGGAUGCACAGAUGAAAUACACACACACACACACACACACACACACACACACACCCCAGCUUAUUUUUAAAUAUGCUUUUAGCUUUAGCUCAAUGGCUGGGCUCUUCCCUCCCUCAGCUAGCGUGCCCUUCUCUUUACUCCCAGCUCAAUACCUCUAACUCUGCCCUCAACUCAGUUGCUCAGAUACCUUUAGUCCUAGCUCAGCACCCUAAAUCUGCCCUUGGCUUAGUUGCAUUUCUAAUCUCCCUCCUGCUACCCCAGGCCCAGUUAGGGAAGCAGCCAACGGCCACUUCACCUGAGAUCUCCCAUGGCAGGUGGCUCUCUCUCCCUCUGAAGUGUGAUGAACCCUCUUUCCUCCUCCUGUGUCUACAGCCUGCCUGUGGGAGCCUCUUCUACCCAGCCAUUGGCCACUAGCAUCUUUAUUGAUUGAUCAAGAACCAACCGGGGAACAGGACCUUUAGCAUUUAUGUGCAGAUUCCAGAACAGAAUCAGAAGCGCCUCCUACAGGCCUACGCUGGGGACAGCCCAAACGUCCACCAAUGAGGGAGCAGAGAAGCGUAUUAUGAUAUAUUCCUACGCUUGCUUUUGGUUAUGGUGUUUCAUCGUGGCGAUAAAAAACCUGACCAGGACAACUACCAAGAUGGAGAUUCAGUGACCUCCUUAGACUCGGAUUUCUAUAACGACUUUGCCAGAACAAGUCAGCAGCAGAGCAGAGCCACGUGAGGAGAGUGGAAAGCAUCUGGGAUCUGACUCAAGCAAUGUCCAGGAUGGACUUGGAUGGAGUCAUACUUUGAUUUGGUGUUUGAAUCAAAGAUGGAUGCAAUUCAUAUCACCUCCGUGGAAGAAAUGUUCAUGAAACUCAAGUAAUGUAGUUUCUUUCGUCUUCCUUUAAAAACUGUGGCACAAUAAACUUGUUAGUUUUACCACCUUUGCCAUUUCCAAGUAUAUAGUUCAGAGAAGUGUUAAGUGCUAUGGGUGUUUUAUACCCAUUACUUUUAUCUAUCUGCAGAAGGUUUCCAUCACUUGAAUUGAAAUUCUACCUAUCUGAUAAUGACAGCCCAUUUUCCUUCCCCACGAGCCUAUGGUGACUAGUGUCUUCACGUAAGUGAAAGCACACAGUAUUUAUCCUCCUGUGUGCCUGUCUUGUUCACUCAGUGUGUCUUCACAGAUCCCUUGUUUAUUUCCUCUUGGAGAAAGUCUGUUCAAGUUCCCUGCCAAUUUUUAAUAAAGCUACCGCUUGAUGUCAGGUCACAGGAGCUCCUCGUGUAUUCUGGACUCCAAUCCCUCAUUAGAUAUGUGCUUUAUAAACAUUUCCUCACUUCUCUGAUUUGCCGCUUUUGUUCUUUUGGUAGAAUCUUUCGAUAUGUUCUGGAAUGA